RNAcentral lists this ribosomal RNA (1161 nucleotides) under Triticum aestivum (bread wheat). RNAcentral describes it as "partial small subunit ribosomal RNA". Lineage: Eukaryota; Viridiplantae; Streptophyta; Magnoliopsida; Poales; Poaceae. The record is from RNAcentral.
AUGUGGACCUGUCUUCGUCAGCGCUAUGAGCCCUCUGGUGAUGCCUUAUACCUUUCUGUGGUUCGUCAGGAGCAUGCUCUUCAGCAGGGUGACUCUACUGUUGAUGACUUUUAUGCACAGAGUUCUGCUAUCUGGCGCCAGCUUGAUUCUCUCCGCAGUGCUGGUUGUCGUACUUGCCCCUGCUGCCAGGCUGUCCAGGCCGAUUUGGAGUUUCAUCGCGUCUACGAGUUCUUGUCUCGGCUCCGUAAGGAGUUUGAGCCCCGGCGUGCUCAGUUGCUUGCUCGUGGCCGUAUUUCUCUCAUGGAGGCGCUUUCAGAGAUUCGUGCUGAGGAGACUCGCCUACGUGGUGCUGGUUUGCUGGAGGUUCCCUCUGUGCUCGCUACUCGGGUUUCUUCCACUCCACCUGCUGCACCGCCUCAUUCUCGCUCGAGUGCUCCGCCGCUCUUGCCCACUCCUUCUGGAGGCUCAGGUCGCCCCCGUUCACAUUGUGACUACUGCAAGAAUGAUGGUCAUAUUGAGUCACAGUGCUACACCAAGCGGAAACACCUGCGCAAGGCGCGAUCAUCAGGGACUGCGUCAUCUCCCUCGCCAGCUUCAGCCAUUGCUUUGACCGAGCAGGAUAUUCUGAGACUUAAGCGUCUGCUCGCGGCUUCAGGUUCUUCCUCGACGGGUACUGCUGCUUCUGUGACUGAUGCUUCCCGCACUGAGCACUCGCCCUCUACACAGUCAGGUACAUCCCCAUGGGUUCUGGAUUCUGGAGCUUCUUUUCAUAUGUCUUCUCAUUCUUCCGCUUUGUCUUCUCUUCGCUCGCUGGAUUCUCCUGUUCAUGUCUUUACUGCUGAUGGUACUCCACUUUCUGUUGCCAGUAGAGGCCAUCUUUCUACUCCUUCUUAUUCUGUUCCUGAUGUUGCUCAUGUUCCUCGACUUACCAUGAAUCUGUUUUCUGCCGGUCAACUUACUGAUUCUGGUUGUCGUGUCAUCCUUGAUGUUGACUCUUGUUCUGUCCAGGAUCGUCGCACGCACACUCUGGUUGGGGCUGGCCCUCGCCGCCGUGAUUCUCAGGGUCUUUGGGAGUUGGACUGGCUUCAUGUUCCUUCCGCUGCCACCACCAUCGCCAGUUCCUCCGCUGCUGUCGCUUCUGUUACUGGUUCCUUCAAGUAG